Molecule: ribosomal RNA, 468 nt
Filed under: uncultured bacterium
Lineage: Bacteria
Description: partial 16S ribosomal RNA
Rfam family: Bacterial small subunit ribosomal RNA
Source: RNAcentral
GACGAACGCUGGCGGCGUGCUUAACACAUGCAAGUCGAACGGAAAGGCCCUGCUUUUGUGGGGUGCUCGAGUGGCGAACGGGUGAGUAACACGUGAGUAACCUGCCCUUGACUUUGGGAUAACUUCAGGAAACUGGGGCUAUUACCGGAUAGGAGCUCCUGCUGCAUGGUGGGGGUUGGAAAGUUUCGGCGGUUGGGGAUGGACUCGCGGCUUAUCAGCUUGUUGGUGGGGUAGUGGCUUACCAAGGGUUUGACGGGUAGCCGGCCUGAGAGGGUGGCCGGCCACAUUGGGACUGAGGGACGGCCCAGACUCCAACGGGAGGCAACAGUCGAGAAUAUUGCACAAUGGGCGGAAGCCUGAUGCAGCAACGCCGCGUGCGUGAUGACGGCCUUCGAGUUGUAAACCGCUUUCGCAUGUAACGAAGCGUGAGUGACGGUAAUGGGUAAAGAAGCACCGGCUAACUACGUG